UACGGAGGAUGCGAGCGUUAUCCGGAUUUAUUGGGUUUAAAGGGUGCGUAGGCGGCUUUUUAAGUCAGCGGUGAAAUUUUGCAGCUUAACUGUAACAGUGCCGUUGAUACUGGGGAGCUAGGAUUUGGUUGCUGUGGGUGGAAUGUGUGGUGUAGCGGUGAAAUGCGUAGAGAUCACACAGAAUAUCGAUUGCGAAGGCAGCUCACAAAGCCAAGAUUGACGCUGAGGCACGAAAGUGUGGGGAUCAAACAGGAUUA
This 257-nucleotide ribosomal RNA is filed under the name uncultured prokaryote. Its description in RNAcentral is "partial 16S ribosomal RNA". It matches the Rfam family "Bacterial small subunit ribosomal RNA", at positions 524 to 780 of the family's 1533-position model. The record is from RNAcentral.